This 282-nucleotide ribosomal RNA is filed under the name Triticum aestivum (bread wheat). RNAcentral describes it as "partial small subunit ribosomal RNA". Lineage: Eukaryota; Viridiplantae; Streptophyta; Magnoliopsida; Poales; Poaceae. The record is from RNAcentral.
AUGAUGGCCAAACUGCAGAAGGGACAUAUAACUUCACCUCUAUCGAGUCAUCACAUUGCUCAACCCAAUCACAUCUCAAGAAUCUUGGAGGAGUCGACAAGAAUCAAGGAGAAACAUCAGCUGAUGGUGAGAAUCCUGGAGGAGAAAGGGUGCAGAUUAAUGAAGAUGUUGAGGAGGUGUACGUGCAAGUGGAGCCCCAACAAACUCAACCAAAUUUGGCUACUGCACCCUCAAGAAAUGGAGAAGAGGGAGAACCAAAGAGACGGAGGGGGCGAAUGGUGA